ACAGCAGUAGCCGCGGUAAUACGGAGGGUGCAAGCGUUGUCCGGAUUUAUUGGGUUUAAAGGGUGCGUAGGCGGCCUAAUAAGUCAGUGGUGAAAGCCUCCAGCUUAACUGGAGAACUGCCAUUGAUACUGUUAGGCUUGAGUAUACUUGAGGUAGGCGGAAUUGACAGUGUAGCGGUGAAAUGCAUAGAUAUUGUCAAGAACACCAAUCGCGAAGGCAGCUUACUAAAUUAUAACUGACGCUGAGGCACGAAAGUGUGGGUAUCAAACAGGAUUAGAUACCCCGGUAGUCCCUGUCUCUUAUAC
RNAcentral lists this ribosomal RNA (305 nucleotides) under uncultured bacterium. RNAcentral describes it as "partial 16S ribosomal RNA". It matches the Rfam family "Bacterial small subunit ribosomal RNA", at positions 508 to 807 of the family's 1533-position model. The record is from RNAcentral.